CAAGUCUUAACUACUCCACACAUGACACAUGUACAACAAAGGCUGCUGCCUGUUGUGCAGUCCUAAUCCCUGUCGCUUCUCUCAUUAUUUCGUGACAUGUCCACAGUUUCUCCACUGAGACUGAGGAGCGCUCGAUGCAAGUAUGUGACGAAGUAAUCUAACACAUCCUAUCCGGGCAUGCGGUGAGAUUUACACCUGUCAGAAAAGCAUCCUUCACCGUUUGUCAGAGGCCUUUGGGACAAUCUCCUGCUAAUGUAAGGAAAACGGCUGUUUUCUUUGGAGUGGCGAUUGCACAGAAGUAAAUCUUGCGAGCAGGGAAACUGGACUCCGCACCCACGUGCGAGCUGCGCUAGGGAGAGAUGGCAAACACAUUACAUGUGGAGAGACUGAGGCUUAAUAGUGCAGACAGAGGGGGUGUGUUGGAGAUCUAGGACCGUGUAUUGAGUUUUUCCCCAGGAGGCUCCUAUGAAACAUCCUUGGGAACUGGUUACAUCAUCUGCAGCAAGGGAGCAGGCUUUGUCGUGACGAAAGAGGGAUCUGGUUUUCUUGUAAUGUGCUGCCACCCACUGGUUGUUUGCGGCUCUGCCCUGGAGAAGCUGUCGUCAUGGUAGUGGUUCCAGCCGAUGCCUCCGUUCUGGCCUGGAGCAGCC
This is a long non-coding RNA of Xiphias gladius (swordfish), 650 nucleotides long. RefSeq lists it as uncharacterized. The transcript has 3 exons. The record is from RefSeq and is a predicted model, not a curated record. Lineage: Eukaryota; Metazoa; Chordata; Actinopteri; Istiophoriformes; Xiphiidae.